GUGUGGGUGUGUGUGCGUGUGUGUGUGUGUAAAUGAAUAAAAUAAGUACCUAUAUGUACACACGUAUGAGUGACUGCCAGAGAAUUCUGUUUGUGGAUACUGGACCUGAUUUCUGUCCUUGGGAUUGGGACUGGUAACCAAAAAUAGGUGUCCCAGUCCUAGGAAGAGAAAAGGCAGGGACCAGACUGGGAACCUCUAAAAGUGUCAAAACAGAAGCCUAGUUAUAAUAACUGAGGUAUCAACAGGGCUAAAAUGGCAGAAAGGGUAAGAAUAGGGCAGAGGAUGUAUCAGAACAAGCUAGGAUCCCUUGUCAUCUAAUCUGGGGUGUAAGGGUUAGGUGGAUUAGUGUUAAUAACGACUUGAUCUGGGGGCGCCUGGGUGGCUCAGUUGGUUAAACCUCAGACUUUGGCCCAGGUCAUGAUCUCUCAGUCUGGGAGUUCGAACGCUGCGUUGGGUUCUUUGUUGACAGGUUAGAGCCUGGAACCUGCUUCAGAUUCUGUGUCUCUCUCUCUGCCCCUCAUGCUCAUGCUCUAUUUCUCAAAAAUAAAUUAAAAAAAUAAAUUAAAAAGUAACAACUUGAUCUGGAAUUGAAGAUUGGGGCUAAAACUGCUGUCAUGAGUCUGUGUUGGUGACCUAGGAUUUAAGUAACAGGAGAAGCAGGCUGGGCUUGACUUUUUUUUUUUUUUUUAACGUUUUAUUUAUUUUGAGAGAGAGAGAGAAUGUGAGAGCA
Molecule: long non-coding RNA, 730 nt
Organism: Lynx canadensis (Canada lynx)
Lineage: Eukaryota; Metazoa; Chordata; Mammalia; Carnivora; Felidae
Exons: 3
Source: RefSeq, a predicted model, not a curated record